CAGCAGCCGCGGGAAUACGAGGGGGGCAAGCGUUGUUCGGAAUUAUUGGGCGUAAAGGGUGCGUAGGCGGUUUGACAAGUCUUAUGUGAAAUCUUCGGGCUCAACCCGAAGUCUGCAUAGGAAACUGUCGGGCUUGAGUAUGGGAGAGGUGAGUGGAAUUUCCGGUGUAGCGGCGAAAUUCGUAGAUAUUGGGAAGAACACCGGUGGCGAAGGCGGCAACCUGGCUCAUUACUGACGCUGAGGCGCGAAAGCGUGGGGAGCAAACAGGAUUAGAUACCCCAGUAGUCCCUGUCUCUUAUAC
RNAcentral lists this ribosomal RNA (301 nucleotides) under uncultured bacterium. Its description in RNAcentral is "partial 16S ribosomal RNA". It matches the Rfam family "Bacterial small subunit ribosomal RNA", at positions 509 to 807 of the family's 1533-position model. The record is from RNAcentral.